AGAGUUUGAUCAUGGCUCAGAUUGAACGCUGGCGGCAGGCCUAACACAUGCAAGUCGAGCGGUAACAGAAAGUAGCUUGCUACUUUGCUGACGAGCGGCGGACGGGUGAGUAAUGCCUGGGAAUAUGCCUUGAUGUGGGGGAUAACUAUUGGAAACGAUAGCUAAUACCGCAUAAUGUCUUCGGACCAAAGAGGGGGAUCUUCGGACCUCUCGCGUCAAGAUUAGCCCAGGUGAGAUUAGCUAGUUGGUGGGGUAAGAGCCCACCAAGGCGACGAUCUCUAGCUGGUCUGAGAGGAUGAUCAGCCACACUGGAACUGAGACACGGUCCAGACUCCUACGGGAGGCAGCAGUGGGGAAUAUUGCACAAUGGGCGAGAGCCUGAUGCAGCCAUGCCGCGUGUAUGAAGAAGGCCUUCGGGUUGUAAAGUACUUUCAGUCGUGAGGAAGGGUGUGUAGUUAAUAGCUGCAUAUCUUGACGUUAGCGACAGAAGAAGCACCGGCUAACUCCGUGCCAGCAGCCGCGGUAAUACGGAGGGUGCGAGCGUUAAUCGGAAUUACUGGGCGUAAAGCGCAUGCAGGUGGUUCAUUAAGUCAGAUGUGAAAGCCCGGGGCUCAACCUCGGAACCGCAUUUGAAACUGGUGAACUAGAGUGCUGUAGAGGGGGGUAGAAUUUCA
This 674-nucleotide ribosomal RNA is filed under the name uncultured Vibrionaceae bacterium. Its description in RNAcentral is "bacterial SSU rRNA". It matches the Rfam family "Bacterial small subunit ribosomal RNA", at positions 8 to 671 of the family's 1533-position model. Lineage: Bacteria; Pseudomonadati; Pseudomonadota; Gammaproteobacteria; Vibrionales; Vibrionaceae. The record is from RNAcentral.